Molecule: long non-coding RNA, 1481 nt
Organism: Armigeres subalbatus
Lineage: Eukaryota; Metazoa; Arthropoda; Insecta; Diptera; Culicidae
Exons: 3
Source: RefSeq, a predicted model, not a curated record
ACCAUUUUUGCAUUCGUAUAUCAUGAGGCUAGCACGAUGAUACUUUUAUGCCCAAGGAAAUCGAGACAAUUUCCAAUCCGAAAAUUGCCUAGACCGGCACCGGGAAUCGAACCCAACCACCCUCAGCAUGGUCUUGCUUUGUAGCCGCGCGUCUUACCGCACGGCUAAGGAAUAUUUUGGGGGGUCCAUAAUAGGGAAGAAGAACGUCCCGAAACGGAACAUAAAAAUCAAAUGAAGUGUCGACUAUAGGGAAGCAAAUUCCUAUUAUGGACCCCCAGGGGGUCUACUAUAGGGCGAAUUCAGUCAGACUUUAAAAUGUUAAUUUCAACGAAUAACGUCGUGUAUUUGAGUGUUUUAUGUAUGUAUCGUGAAGAGGAGAUGCAGAACUUGGUGUUAGAUGUCAAGCAGAAUUAAUAUGUUGAAAAUUUCUACUCCUUGUGACGAAAAGAGCAAAAUUUCGCUACUAGGGGGUCCACUAUUGGGUAUUUUACCCUAUUUGUCCAACUCGGCAAGCCUCGUUCGAUAAACGCAAGACUCGUGCUGAAAAAAUCAUCUUUUUGCAACUUGUUGCACAAACUACUGUUUCGACAGCACACAGCAGAAUAAAAUAAAGCGAGUCUUGAGACUUUUCUGCACAUUGUAACCUUUGGGUUCCAGGUUUACCUUGCUGGCUCCUCCAUCAAUCCAAAUAAAAUUUCCUUUCCCAAAAAAAAAAAAAAAAUAAAACAAAACAAAAGAAAAACAAAUACAAAACGAAACUAACGUAAUGAUGGGCCAGUGGCGGCACACAGUGGCUUGAUGUGUGAAAAGAGCUCUGACCCACCUUCAACGGACACACUGUAUAGUCGAACAUUGUCAAAAUGAUAUUACUGACACCCGCAGGGCUAAACAUAAAAUAUCCCUGCUGGAGUUCUAAGUUCUAGCAGUAGAGGGAUCCUGCACCAGUAAAAAGGGGAAACAACCUAGAGCGAAAACUUCAAAUUAAUCGAAGUGAUUCUUUGAUAGUUUCAGCUCCAUCGAAGGAUCAAAAUUCUUUAAAAAGCAGAUCCUUCAAGGAUCUGAUCUCUUUUUAUCCUGAAAAUUCAAAAGUAAAGGUCUAUUGUUAGAGUCCAAUUCAAUUGUUAGUCGACAAAAAAGUGCGCAGUGAAUAAUUAAAAGUUAUAAGUACGGUUAAUCGCUUAAAUAGUGAGAACAUUCAAUUCACAAAAGUACGCAAACGAAAAAAAAACAAGGAAAAAAGGUCCACGAAGGGCCUUUUUUCUUUCUUUUGGACAGCUGAACCAGUGAAAGCGGACGGGAACCCUCUGUGGUCGGUCGUUGUACCUGUCGGUAACCAGACGGGAACCCUCUGUGGUCGGUCGUUGUACCUGUCGGGAGCGUGCCUGUCGAGGUGUGGAGUGGAGAAUCAGACCAAGAACCCAGUCCCUUCUUCCGGUUCGUCUACGGAUAGCCAAAACCGAUACCGCCAAGCUCGACAGACC